Molecule: ribosomal RNA, 951 nt
Filed under: Triticum aestivum (bread wheat)
Lineage: Eukaryota; Viridiplantae; Streptophyta; Magnoliopsida; Poales; Poaceae
Description: partial small subunit ribosomal RNA
Source: RNAcentral
AUGCAGGCAAUCCGGCGGCAUCCUACCCUCGCCGGCUCGUCCGAUUUUUGCUCGGGCCGGCAGGCGUCUAAUGAGCUCUGUUUCCAAAAUUCAAAGCCACUUGUUCAAGCCGUGCAUGGUGUGUGCCACGGAAUGGUCGGGGACAACCUGCCCUCGCGGAGCGACGUGGUGCAGUUGUACAAGCCCCGCAACAUCCACGCCAUGCGCAUCUACAACCCGGACCAGGAGGCCCUCGCGGCCCUCCGGGGAAGUGCGAUCUCCCUCAUCCUUGACGUCCGCGGGGUCGACGAGGUCCGGCGCCUCGCCGGCGACCCAUCAUAUGCCGCCAGCUGGGUCCGGAGCAACGUGCAGGCCUACUAUCCGGACGUCUUCAUCAGCAGCAUCAAGGUGUCAACGGCGGUGAGGUUCGACGUGAUCACCAACUCCUUCCCGCCUUCAAACGGCGUGUUCAGGGACCCUUCUGGCUUGGUGCCCAUCGCGCGCUUCCUGGACCGCACCGGCGCCCCGUUCCUGGCCAACGUCUACCCCUACUUCGCCUACAGGGACGACCGCGGCCAGAACAUCAGGCUCAACUACGCGACGUUCCAGCCCGGCACCACGGUGAGGGACAACGGCAACGGGCUGAACUAUACCAGCCUCUUCGACGCGAUGGUCGACUCCAUCUACGCCGCGCUGGAGAAGGCCGGCACGCCCAACGUCAGAGUGGUGGUGUCGGAGAGUGGGUGGCCGUCGGGGGGCGGGUUCGGGGCAUCGGUGGACAACGCGCGGAACUACAACCAGGGCCUGAUUGACCACAUCCGCAACGGCACGCCGAAACGGCCAGGGGCGAUCGAGACGUACAUAUUCGCCAUGUUCAACGAGAACAAGAAACCAGGGGAUGAGGUCGAGAGGAACUUCGGGCUCUUCUUCCCCAACAAGCAACCUGUCUACCCGACAACCUUCCCCAAUUAA